RNAcentral lists this long non-coding RNA (10317 nucleotides) under Octopus vulgaris (common octopus). The record is from RNAcentral. Lineage: Eukaryota; Metazoa; Mollusca; Cephalopoda; Octopoda; Octopodidae.
CGUGAACAAUAGCGUCGUCGCUAGUUACAAGCUUUUUCGCGAAACGGAUCACCAAAUCAAGCAAAGAGUGACAAGAAAAAUGUCAGUCUAUAUAAAACACGAUGGCCAAAUAUUUGCAAGGAACUUCGUUCGUAAGGCACCGCUUUUUUCUCGGCCAUAUUUCUUUUUAAAUGCAAUGUCUACUAUAAACGCACGCACGCACACAAACACACACUCACACGCACACACACACACACACACACACACACAAGUGUUUUCCUAGUUUAGCGUCUGAAAUUAAUUUUUAUUUUUUAAUAGAAAAUAGUGCGUCAGAUUAAUCUUUCUUCAAAUGCGUUUCCACCGUCACCAUCCUACCUGUUUUACUGCAUUCCAAUUGUGACCACCCAGUCUUUUUUAAAGCGUUUCAAACGUGACCACCUCGUCUUUUUUUAAAGCCCAAAUCUCCUUUACGUCACACCCUUACUAUCUUUUAUUUUAUCUAAUUUUUGUUUAAAGUAUUUAAAGGAUACAUUUAAUAAUGUAAUCCGGGAUAUGUUAUGUCAAAAUUAAAAAUAAGGAUGAAAUCAUCAUGAACGGAAUGAUUUUGAUUAUCGGCUUGCUGGAUUGGGAGUUGACUCGGGGUUAGACAACAACAGUUAACGUCAGAUUCGUGUGUGAGUAUGUGUAUGAGUGUGUGUAUGUGUGUGUGCGUGUGAAUGUGUGUGUGUGUGCGUGAGAGAGAGAGAGAGAGAGAGAGAGAGAGAGAGAGAGAGAGAGAGGGAAGGAGAGAGAGAGGAAAGAGAGAGAGAGAGAAACUAUGUAUACGCGCGCAUGAGUGCAGGCAUAGCUGUAUGGUGAAAAAGCUCGCGGAUCUUUUCGGUUUGAACAGCAGUUUUUUCUAGCGGUGUCAUAUGAAAUUGUCAACCAUAAUUAUGACCCUAGUAUCGAUCUAUUGCAUUUCAAUCUGUUUUAGGGUUAGGGUUAGGGGUGGGUGGAAAGGUAUCUUUUUUUCUUCAGAAAUGUAAAUAAACCCAAUCUUUUUCUUAAACGAGGGACAUAUUCAUACGGCACGGAAUGUUUUCACCUCAAUAGAUGUCAUUGAUUGGUUGAAAUUGCGGAAAUUGAAGAAAAAACAACAACAAAUAUCUUACAAACCAUAGAAUUUUCUCAAUAAAGCCAAGAGAAAAAGAUGUUUUAUAAACACAAUCUACCAGUAUACGAAGUUUAAAAGUGUUUAGUUACGUGGAAAUUAUUUUUAAAAACUGCCGUUCAAACCGAAAAGAUCCGCGCGCUUGUGUGCAGGCAUAGCUGUAUGGUGAAAAAGCUCGCUUUGCUAUUACAUAAUUUCAGGUUGUGUCCCGCUGCGCGGCACGUUGCGCGGCACCUUGCGCGGCACCUUGCGCAAGUGUUUUUUACACUUGCCUCCGGCUGACCAAUACCCUUGCAAUUGAAUUUGAUAAAUGAAAACUAUGUAGAAGCACCCCACUCUCUCGCCUUCUGUCUCUCUCUCUCCCUUUCACUCCUUUCCCCUUCUCGCAUCUCUCUCUCUAUAUAUAUAUAUAUGUGAGUGUGUGUGUAUAUAUAUAUAUGUAUGCGUAUGUCUGUCCUUGUGUUAGUUUUGUGUUUGUCUCCCAGCACUGCUUAACAAUCGAUAUUGGUUUGUUUAUAUCCCUGUCUCUAAGUGGUUCGGCAAAAGAGACCAACAGAAUGGUUGGUACUAAUUCUAUCGGUUUCUUUUGCAAAACCGCUAGAUCUUGGGGAUGUAAACAAACCGACACCAGUCGUGAAGCGAUGGUGGGAGCCAAACACAAAUGCAAGGACUUUAUGUCUUUGUUUAUCCUCCACUGCCGCUUGAUAACCGGUGUUGCUGUGUUUACAUCCCCGUAACUUAGUGGUUCGGCAACAUUUCGAUAAAAUAACAGGCUUAACAAAAGAAAAAAUAUAUAAGUACUAGGCUUAAUUCCUUCGACUAAAAAUUCUUCAAGGCGGUGCCCCAGCAUGGCUGCAGUCUAAUGACAGAAACAAGUAAAUACACACACACACAUACACAUAUAGAUAUGUAUGUAUGUAUGUAUGUAUGUAUGUAUGUAUGCAUGUAUGUAUGCAUGUAUGUAUGCAUGUAUGUAUGUAUGUAUGUAUGUAUGUAUGUAUGUAUGUAUGUAUGUAUGUAUGUAUGUCAGGUCACUUUCGAGUGCUACUGGUAACAUGUAACCCAGUACAACCUGUUGCCUGAUCGGGUCGUCAGCGACUAAACCGGCAACCCCACCAAGCUUGCUUGGUGAGGAGGGUGUUUAUUGGACACCCUGCGGGAUGAAAAACAAAACCCGUCAAAGGGCGGAGGAACUCUUGAGAGUCAACGGCCAUCCAAUAAAUGUCUUAAGGCUGUAUCAUGCGCGGGGACAUAGAAAUAAUCGGACUGAAUACCUGAUCACGCUGUUAAACCAUUGGGAGUGAAGGACUCCUAGCCUUUGUUAGGGCAUCUUUCUAGGAGAAGGUAACUCAGGUAACUGGGAUAACUCCGACAUAAAACCUGCGGCUCAGUGGUUACCGAUGAUGUUGACUUGUUCUUUUCGGAUUAUGGCUGCUGUUGCUUAGUGAGUGGAAUUGACUCAGUGCACAGCAGCCUUUCUUCACUUAAAAAAAAAUCUUCUUGCACAGGCAUUGCACGAUAGCAACAUUGAUUAAGCUUCGUGCAAUGGCCAUACUCGAUAGCGAGGGGGCAGCCAUCAUGUAUGAGAUACUCGAAGUAUUGAAAGAUUUCACCAAGUGUUUAAGGCAUAUAUAAAGUGUCAGUUGGAAGGGUCACUGCUUCUGUAGCCGAACGGAACAAAACCAUGAAGUAUUGGGAUCUGACAGUGAACUAUCUUUUCCAACCUGUGGUGGUUGAGACAUUUGGAGGGACUGGGUCACUAACGACGACAUUCUCGUCAACAUUGGCAAUUCGCCUCACCGAGGUAUCAGGCUUUCCAAAUGCCUUUGCCUCGCCAUCGCCCAUGGUAAUGCUGCGAGCGUGCUGGCUUGCUCCAGCAGGUUCCGUUGGACCUUGUGGUGUGCGACCAAUUUUCCUUUUUCCUCGCUUUUUCCCCUUUUUUUGUCUUUCUUUUGCAACAACUUAUAUUAUGGAAGAAUCAUGACUAUAACUCUUUUACUCUAUUACUUGUUUCAGUCAUGUGACUGUGGCCAUACUGGAGCACUGCCUUUAGUCGAGAAAAUCGACUCCAGCACUUAUUCUUUGCGAGCCUGGUACUUAUUCUAUCGUUCUUUUUUGUCGAACCGCUAAGUUACGGGGACGUAAACACACCCCCAUCGGUUGUCAAGCGAUGUUGGGGGGACAAACACAGACACACAAACACACACACAUAUAUAUACAUAUAUACAACAAGCUUCUUUCAGUUUCCGUCUACCAAAUCCACUCACAAGGCUUUGGCCGGCCCGAGAGUGUAGUAGAAGACACUUGCCUAAGGUGCCACGCAGUGGGACUGAAGCCAGAACCAUGUGGUUGGUAAGCAAGCUACUUACCACACAGCCACUCCUGUGCCUACUGUUUAGGAUUUGUAUUUUAAUGUGGUUUUGUAUUAUUCAUAUACCAUAUACAUAUGUGUUAUAUAUAUAAUGCUGAUCACCCUGCAGACUGCGAUAGUCAAUAAAAUAGAAUCUCAACCUGACAUAAAAAGUGUUGGAAAAGACGGGCUGUCUGAAGAUCGACGCUCGUCUUAUAAAGUAUCAUAUGUAUUGUGUUGGACAUAUUCAUUUUGAUUAUUCCAGGCUUUAGAAACAAUUAUUCCGCGAUGAAUUAGUUCUCGGUAAGUGUCUCCAGCAUAACUCAAGAAAGAUAUUUCCUGAUUUCACAAAAGACAACUUUAAAUCUUUAAACAUCAUCACUUUUACUUGGGAACAUUCGCACUGAACGAUUAUGAAUGGUGGUUUAAUCGAGGAAGAACUGUCUGUAGUUUGAAAAACAUCGAUUUGUCCCCCAAAUAGUGAAACGUAAUUCCCGAUAAUUGCAGGCUAUUAGUAAUUAUAGGAUUCAGAGGUGAUCUAUUAUUCUUCACUGCCUACAAUCGGUUACACUUUUCAAAGCCAAUCUCUCUUAUAUGAAGGAUCGUAUCAAGGGAAGCAAACAUGGGAUGUAUACUGGCAUUGUUUCACCACUUACAUUGGAGGACUGUCACGUUGUAUUCUCAUCUAAUGCCAGGUUGAAAAUCUAUUCUGGACGAAUGUACAGGGGGGAGUUGGUGGUGACGAUGUCUUUGACAAAAUUCUGUGGGCCAGGUAACCAUCCAAGGGCCCAUGAUUGAGUAACUAAGAAGCCUGUUACAGGUAUAUAUCUGCAAUAAGAAAACGGUUAUGCCCGUAAUCGAAUACACACGCAAGCACGCACGCACGCACGCACGCACGCACGCACGCGCGCGCACACACACACACACACACACACACACACACACACACACACACACACACACACUUUAAAUUUUAUAUGAAAUCCAAUAUAGUAAAACAAAAUGUACACAGAACUGCUCAUGAACUUUAACAACGUAUUUACAGUAAUCCAGACGAUUGUGCAAAUUAAUUCUUGCAUCAAAGCCACAGGGAAAACAUUUUUAGCUCAAAUUAGUAUCCGUAAAGUAUCCAUAUGCCCGCUACAUUGUUUACAUCGUUCUCGCCUGCCUCAGGAGGUCUCCAAUUUUUCAUAGCAUUUUAUUCUUGGCUGUAUAAAAAUCAUUUCAUAUUUCAUCUAUUAUUCAUCAUUGAAUUUUCACCGCUGAAAUUUUCAAUCUUGCAGGCCCAGGAGGCGAAAUUUUUUCCCUACGAGAGUUCCGGACCCCAGUAAUUACCUCAUUUGCAUAUAGCCAAUCAGAACAGAGCUACCGUUAUCCUGUCUUCCUUUCUAGUCAGCACUGUGCAUUCUUUACUUUUUCUCUCUCUAUUGGCAGACAGCAACUUUUCCGUCUGGGUUAAUGUUGUCAUUGAGCAUUGAGAUGGCUGUGAGGUGUGCUAAAAAUAACAGCUAAAUAAGAUUUUUUGGAUAAAUCUUUUAAAUCAAAGUUUAUUUGCCAACAUCCCGCUCAGAGAUUUAAAACUGUUUUUCUCUUUUAAAUUAACAUAAACAUUUAUUUACAUGAAAGAAAAUUACCGGAGAACUGUCAUCUAAUUCUUCUAAAUAUUUCUGUUAAAAAUUGUAAUGUGUUUAUCGCAUGUAACGUGUUGUUUAUUGCAUUUGCAUUAAACACGGGUGGUUGUAAGGUGUGCUAAAAAUAACAGCUAAGUAAGAUUUAUUUACAUGAAAUAAAAUUACGGGAAACAUAACACGUUAUUUACAAAUAUUUUUUCUACUCAAGGCAUAAGGCCCGAAAUUUUAGGAGAGGGGACCAGUCAAUUAGAUCGACCCCAGUACUCAACUGGUAAUUAAAUUUAUCGAUUCCGAAAAAAUGAAAGGCAAAGUCAACCUCGGCGGAGUGCUAUUUUCAGAAUAUUGACAAGAGUAUUUAUAAAACCUUCAAGCAGUUUCCGCACUUUCAUAUUCGUCCAAAACAUUAUCUUUGCACAGGCUAUAGUAAUUCAAACCUACCGAUAACAAGCGGUAUCGAUGAUAUCGGCAUCUGAAUGAGAACACAAUACCAGAUUCGCAUGACAAUCAAAGGUCACCAUUUUGAAUGCCAACAUUUGUUAACUUGACAAGGUGAAGGUGAGCUUUGAUUGGCUGUAAUCAAAUGAGCACUUUACUGGGGUCCGGAAUUCUUGUGGUGGCGGUGAGGGGAAUUCGCAUCCAGAAGAAGUUAUCUUCCUGCCAAUGCUGUUGCUAUCCUCUAGUUUACGUGAUAUUUACUUAUGCAUUGCUUUAUGCUGGUAUGAUGCCUGCUUCUCCUCUACUCUAGCCCCCAACUCUGAAGAUGUUGCCCUCACUUCUGAAUAUGUAUGAAAUGUAUUCAUUACUUUACUGUUUAGCCGAUAUUGUCUGGGCGGGCCAUCCAAUAAAUGUCUUAAGGCAGUAUCAUGCGCGGAGGCAUAGAAAUAAUCGGACUGAAUACCCGAUCGCGCGGUUAAACCAUUGGGAGUGAAGGACUCCUAGCCUUUGUUAGGGCAUCCUUCUAGGAGAAGGUAACUGGGAUAACUCCGACAUAAAACCUGCGGCUCAGUGGUUACCGAUGAUGUUGACUUGUUCUUCUUUUCGGAUUAUGGCUGCUGUUGCUUAGUGAGUGGGAUUGACUCAGCGCACAGCCUUUCCUCACUUUAAAAAAAAUCUUCUUGCACAGGCAUUGCACGAUAAUAACAUUGAUUAAGCUUCGUGCAAUGGCCAUACUUGAUGACGAGGGAGCAGCCACCAUGUAUGUAUGUAUGUAUGUAUGUAUGUAUGUAUGUAUGCACGCAUGCAUUUUUCGGAAAAGAAAAUAAAAGAAAAAAAUUAUAGAUUGCAUUCAAGGGAGAUAACUUAUAAUAAUUUGCCUAGGAAUUGCAACCCUUAAUCAUAAUCCUAAUUUCAGUUGUUCCGUCCAAAUAUGAUUCAACCAAGAUUUGUCUUCUCACCAGCCAUAUAAAAUGGCUACAUCUUCAUUACUAGUACAGAUGCUGGUAAAGUAUGUAAGGUUAAUUUGAUAUGGAUAUAUAGAAACUUAUUUGUGAAGCAAUGAAAGAAUAAAUUAUUCUCUAUUUUGAAACUGUUUGAGGAUACACUAUAUACUCUUUUACUUGUUUCAGUCAUUUGACUGCAGCCAUGCUGGAGCACCGCCUUUAGUCGAGCAAAUCGACCCCAGAACUCAUUCUUUGUAAGCCUAGCACUUAUUCUAUCGGUCUCUUUUUGCCGUAAACACCCCCCCAUCGGUUGUCAAGCGAUGUUGGUGGACAAAGACACACAAACACACACACACACACACACACACACACACACACACACACACACACACACACACACGCUCACACACAUACAUAUAUACGACGGGCUUCUUUCAGUUUCCGUCUACCAAAUCCACUCACAAGGCUUUGGUCGGCUCGAGGUUAUAGUAGAAGACACUUGCCCAAGGUGCCACGCAGUGGGAAUGAACCUGGAACCAUGUGGUUGGUAAGCAAACUACUUACCACACAGCCACUCCUGCAGAGAAUUUUAAUCUCAAACAUGUCCCACACAUUAUGUCUGUACAACAUAACAUGAAACUUGCCAAAGAAGAUGUCUCUCAGACGAUGCUGCAAGCUGAAACAGUACCUGUGAUUGAAGCUGCAAUCACACAUUCUUCAAGGAAAAUUUGGGGCCACUUUUGCUAUCAUUUUCUGUACUUGUUCACUAUCCAGUACCCUGCAACACUGAUGUAAUCACCAGGUCAGUAUGAUAGAAGAUCAAGCACAGCAAAAGUGAAAAACCCCCCCAAAAAAACCUGGACUUUAACAGCUGCCAUGUACAGUAGCAUAAGUAUCUGUCACCAUUAAGCACCAUCUACAUCUUCUGGUAUUGUUGUAACAAGGUUUGCAUUUCUCUAAUAGUCUCCAUCCAAUGUCAUAGUUGGUAGCCUUCUCCUUCAAAAAUAUCAUAUAUGUUUGCCCAGUACAGUGAUGUGCUACUUCUUGUAGAUCCUGAAUAAUGAGUGUGAUUGUGUAUGUAUUUCUUCAAGAAGCUCUUUGUUAGUCUUUAAAUGGAGGAUAUCAUCAAGUGAUGCUUCCUUAGAAAACAGAAUAUGUCAUCAAUUGAUGCUUAAAAAAAUUUACAAAAACAUGGCCAUCAUCAAAGGAAAAUGAAUAUUUUACGGCUCUUUUUUAUAAUGUAAUUGUAAGUUUUGUGUGUGAGUCUAACAAUUAUUAUAGUUUUUGUACUUGUUUAAACUGAAAAUAUGUAUUAAAAUUAUUCUUAAGGAAAAGAGUAAAUUUUGUUUUUUGCCUGUUUUGCACAUAGAUUCAUGCAACCCUUUCCUGUUAUUUAAGGAUUAAUCUGAUAUAGUGCUUUAUACUGGAUGCAUUGUUUGGCCCACUGGACCUGACUUCUACUUCAUAUGCAACACCCAUUGUGUUGCAGCAGCCACUGAGUGGGAAAGUGGUGGUGCCAUUACAAGUGGCUUCAUAUUCUAAGGAUGGGUUUGCAUGAAUGGAUAAGAUUCAUAUUGACUAUGUAUCUGAAAGAAAUUGUAAGCAAGCAUCUAUUAAAUAACUUUUUGUACGUAUGUAUAGGAGAAAAACAUUUAUCAACCAACUUUUGUAUGGCUUUACAUAUAUCGGAACAAACAUUUAGGGAGAAAGGGGUUUUAAACAAAUAACUUUGCUGUGUUGUUUCUUUCUGAUGCAUUUGGGUUGGGUGUGUAAGCAAUCUUAUCUUUAACCCAUUUAGUUUUUGUAAAAGUGACCACUGUAUGAAAAAUUUCCGCCCGAGAUAAUAGAUUCAAGAUCCUUCUGCUCACUUUUUUAAAUAGCUUCUCUAACACUAAAGCUAGAUGGCAGGACCAUGUGUUAAUGUAGGUGAGAUCACUGAGCAGGGGGAAGGCUUGUAGAGGACCAGUGUCCAAAUCUAGUCUCACAUCUAAGUUGGUUUCUAAUGUGAUACAAUGCCUGAAGGACUAUGUCUUACACUGGUGGGAUUAAUUAUUUUUCCUUUCUAGAUACAGCAUAUAUCUUCGGGCUGAAGUUUAUCAGCAUUAAAUAAAUAAAUUUAGAUUUGUUAGAAUUAAAUAAAAAAUAAAUUACACACACACACACACACGGCUUUUUUCACAGUUUUUGUCAACCAAAUUCACUUGCCAGAUUUUGGUCAGCCCAAGAGAAAAAUAGACACUUGCUCAAGGUACCAUGCAGUGAGACUAAACCCAAAACUACACAAUUAUGAAGUGAAUUAUUUACAACACUGCCAUGCUUGUACCUUGACAUUAGAAAAUCUGAAAGGGGGGCAACAAUCCAACCAGCUGAAGAUGAACUUUUUUUUUUUCCAAAAAACUCUAAUAAGGUUUAUAUUUUAUUAUGGAUAUUCAUAGAAUCCAGCCUGUUGAUUACUUCUAGAGUACUGCAAACUUUGUAGUUGCAAUCUGAAGAAAUGUUUUAAAUAAUUAGUAUGUCACACAUUGAUAGGAUUAAUUAUUUUUCAUUUCUAGAUUCAGCAUAUGCAGCUAUCAGUUGUUCAGACUGAAAUUUAUCUGCAUUAAAUAAACAAAUUUAGACUUGUUAAAAUUAAAUAGAAAUAAGUAAUAUUCAAGUAAGGUAGAUACUUUAUUUCAAUGAAAUGUAUUUUCUUUAUCAAUACACAAAUUAACAAUUACAAUGAAUCUUUCAAAAAAAAAAAAAAGAAAAGAAAGAAAAAAGAUAACUAUCUCUUAAUGAUAUAUAUAUAUUCAUAUAUAUAUAUUAGUACAAUUUCUCUUAAAAAAAUAAAUGUAAAAUAUUGUUUUAUAGUGAUAUUGUUGUUUCAAGUUUCUAUUUUAAUUUCAAAUGAAAUACAAGAAUAAUUAUUUAUUGUUGUCUUAUUUUUUGUAAGUGAAUCUCUAAGCUUUGUUCCAUCAUGUCUACAAUUAUAAGUGUUUUAAGAACCCUUCUUCAAAUAUAUUUGUUCUCUUUCAUAUUUACAAAUUUUAUAAACUGGAAAAUAGUCUCUUGUAUUGUUGGGAAAAUUUACUGCUGCAACACACUGAUUUUUGUCAAUUACUUUGUUAUGAAAAUUAGUCCAGACCUGCUCAACAUUGAGUAGUCAAAUAAUUGUAGCAAAGAUAAUUAUUUGUAAAAAAAAUACUUGAUACAAAUAAUUAGAUUCAUAAAAUCAACUUAAGUAAACAAAAAUUUACACAAAUCAGUAUUUAAAAUUUUUUUUAAUUAUUUUUUUUUUUGGUCGGGGUAAGAAUCAGCAUUGGAAUAUAUAAAAUUUCCUUGGAAAUUUUUUAUAUUAUUGUUUUAGUGUCCAUUUUUCAAUGCUUACGUGGUUUGGACCUAUUUUGUCUUUCAAAAUUAUUUUUUUUCUCAAAUCAAUAUUGAUUUUUAAAAUUUACUAGUAAAUUUAUAAACAACCAUUUUUAAAUUUUUCAACAGCUAAUUCUUUCUACCAAAGACACAAGGCCUGAAAUUUUGGGAGAGGUGCUAGUUGAUUACAUCAGUCCCAGUGCUUGACUGGUACUUAUUUUAUUGGCCCCAAAAGGACGAAAGGCAAAGUCAACCUUGGUGUAAUUUGAACAUAAAAUAGGAAGAAAUGUUGCUAAGCAUUUAGUCCUGUGUGCUUACAAUUUUGCCAGCUAGCCACCUUCUUCUCAAGCAGUAAUAUAGACAAUACUUUGUGUACGAGUAUGUACGUAUAUAUUAGUUUAUGAGUGAGUUCAUGUGUAUAUAUGCAUAUAUAUAUGUCUGUGUGUUCAUAUAUAUGUGCAUUUAUAUGAAGAUUAAGGA